RNAcentral lists this ribosomal RNA (755 nucleotides) under uncultured bacterium. Its description in RNAcentral is "bacterial SSU rRNA". It matches the Rfam family "Bacterial small subunit ribosomal RNA", at positions 746 to 1504 of the family's 1533-position model. The record is from RNAcentral.
CUGAGGUGCGAAAGCGUGGGAGCAAACGGGAUUAGAUACCCCGGUAGUCACGCUGUAAACGAUGUCUACUAGCCGUUGGAGGACUUGAUCCUUUAGUGGCGCAGCUAACGCGAUAAGUAGACCGCCUGGGGAGUACGGUCGCAAGAUUAAAACUCAAAUGAAUUGACGGGGGCCCGCACAAGCGGUGGAGCAUGUGGUUUAAUUCGAAGCAACGCGAAGAACCUUACCUACUCUUGACAUCCAGUGAACUUUUGAGAGAUCAAUUGGUGCCUUCGGGAACACUGAGACAGGUGCUGCAUGGCUGUCGUCAGCUCGUGUUGUGAAAUGUUGGGUUAAGUCCCGUAACGAGCGCAACCCUUGUCCUUAGUUACCAUCAUUAAGUUGGGGACUCUAAGGAGACUGCCGGUGACAAACCGGAGGAAGGCGGGGACGACGUCAAGUCAUCAUGGCCCUUACGAGUAGGGCUACACACGUGCUACAAUGGCAUGUACAAAGGGUUGCCAAGCCGCGAGGUGGAGCUAAUCCCAUAAAGCAUGUCGUAGUCCGGAUUGGAGUCUGCAACUCGACUCCAUGAAGUCGGAAUCGCUAGUAAUCGUGAAUCAGAAUGUCACGGUGAAUACGUUCCCGGGCCUUGUACACACCGCCCGUCACACCAUGGGAGUGGGUUGCUCCAGAAGUAGAUAGCUUAACCUUCGGGAGGGCGUUUACCACGGAGUGAUUCAUGACUGGGGUGAAGUCGUAACAAGGUAGCCGUA